Molecule: transfer RNA, 77 nt
Filed under: Candidatus Dadabacteria bacterium
Lineage: Bacteria; Pseudomonadati; Thermodesulfobacteriota; Candidatus Dadabacteria
Description: tRNA-Ala
Rfam family: tRNA
About the family: Transfer RNA (tRNA) molecules are approximately 80 nucleotides in length. Their secondary structure includes four short double-helical elements and three loops (D, anti-codon, and T loops). Further hydrogen bonds mediate the characteristic L-shaped molecular structure. tRNAs have two regions of fundamental functional importance: the anti-codon, which is responsible for specific mRNA codon recognition, and the 3' end, to which the tRNAs corresponding amino acid is attached (by aminoacyl-tRNA synthetases). tRNAs cope with the degeneracy of the genetic code in two manners: having more than one tRNA (with a specific anti-codon) for a particular amino acid; and 'wobble' base-pairing, i.e. permitting non-standard base-pairing at the 3rd anti-codon position.
Source: RNAcentral
GGGGGUGUAGCUCAGUUUGGGAGAGCGCCUGCUUUGCAAGCAGGAGGUCGGCGGUUCGAGCCCGCUCACCUCCACAA